Molecule: long non-coding RNA, 826 nt
Organism: Amphiprion ocellaris (clown anemonefish)
Lineage: Eukaryota; Metazoa; Chordata; Actinopteri; Pomacentridae
Source: Ensembl
GUGCUAGCGUAUCUAGUGUAUGUGUAUCUGUGGUCGGCACGUCUGGUAGCAUCUCUGGCUGCUGUUGACCUUGUUUUUGGAGUAAAACACGGUGGAAGCUGAAUUAGUGAGGAUGACUCCUGCUCCUGUCAUCUCUAAGCUCCUCACACAUCUUUACCUGCACAUGAGGAAAAUCACUCCUGUAGAAUGCAGAUGCACAAUGAGGGACGUCUACAGAGACUGAGAAAGAGUCUCACCACAUCCUGACAUGAGGAAAAAGACUUUAUUGAAGACUACAAUGAGAAAAACUAUCAGACAGCAGACGGCUGCAUUCAAGGCUACAGGAGGAGCCCUACGAGGACGAGCCGGUCCACCUGAUGGCGGCCAGUCGCUGCGGUUCAAAGCCAACACCGACUACAUGGACUUCUACUGGACCACACGGAGGCCUUCAAACCGGACCAACAAGUUCAGCGACUCCCCGACUCGUGGGUCUGAGGACGCCGCCGAGCCUCGGUCCAGCCGGCCUCCUGUCUGUGGGUGUUUGAGUGCUGAGAGGUUUGUGGAUGCAUGUGAACAUGUCUGUGUUGAAACAGCAACUUUUCACUCAGUAACGCCGGGAAAAACCAAGAGCUCCUUUAUUUGUGACUUCCACUAAAAAAACUGAAGAAAAUAAGUUUGCCAGGGUUCUGACUGAUAACAGAUUAUUAAAUAAUGAAAAUAAUCAUUUAAAUAUUCCUUUAAACAAUCCUUUUAGGUCUACAUUUCCUUUAUACUGACUUCUUGGUAUAUGUACAAGUAUUUUGGGUGGAAUAUACCAUUAAGCCUGAUGUUCAAGGGUUCUUCUGGG